AUUGAACGCUGGCGGCAUGCUUUACACAUGCAAGUCGAACGGCAGCGCGGGCUUCGGCCUGGCGGCGAGUGGCGAACGGGUGAGUAAUACAUCGGAACGUGCCCAGUAGUGGGGGAUAGCUCGGCGAAAGCCGGAUUAAUACCGCAUACGACCUGAGGGUGAAAGCGGGGGAUCUUCGGACCUCGCGCUAUUGGAGCGGCCGAUGGCAGAUUAGCUAGUUGGUGGGGUAAAGGCCUACCAAGGCGACGAUCUGUAGCUGGUCUGAGAGGACGACCAGCCACACUGGGACUGAGACACGCGCCAGACUCCUACGGGAGGCAGCAGUGGGGAAUUUUGGACAAUGGGCGAAAGCCUGAUCCAGCAAUGCCGCGUGUGUGAUGAAGGCCUUCGGGUUGUAAAGCACUUUUGGCGGGAACGAAAAGGACUGUGCCAAUACCACGGUUCGAUGACGGUACCCGCAGAAUAAGCACCGGCUAACUACGUG
RNAcentral lists this ribosomal RNA (484 nucleotides) under uncultured bacterium. RNAcentral describes it as "partial 16S ribosomal RNA". It matches the Rfam family "Bacterial small subunit ribosomal RNA", at positions 29 to 507 of the family's 1533-position model. The record is from RNAcentral.